CCGCCAACUGCGGGAGAGACUGGCUAUCGACCAGCGCCGAAGGAGCAACCGCCCCGGAAACUCUCAGGCAAACGGACCGCAGUUAGGUC
RNAcentral lists this non-coding RNA (89 nucleotides) under Pelagibacterium sp. RNAcentral describes it as "Glycine sequence". It matches the Rfam family "Glycine riboswitch aptamer". From Rfam's summary of the family: This family represents the bacterial glycine riboswitch. The record is from RNAcentral. Lineage: Bacteria; Pseudomonadati; Pseudomonadota; Alphaproteobacteria; Hyphomicrobiales; Devosiaceae.